This 167-nucleotide small RNA is filed under the name Geodermatophilus obscurus. Its description in RNAcentral is "c-di-AMP sequence". It matches the Rfam family "c-di-AMP riboswitch aptamer (ydaO/yuaA leader)". Rfam says of the family: This family represents a conserved RNA structure found upstream of the ydaO and yuaA genes in Bacillus subtilis and related genes in other bacteria. The record is from RNAcentral. Lineage: Bacteria; Bacillati; Actinomycetota; Actinomycetes; Geodermatophilales; Geodermatophilaceae. RNAcentral also lists the same sequence under 1 other name.
GGCACGGCACCGCCGAACCGCCGACGUCCCCUCCCGGGGCCGAGGCGGACCGGGGACCCACCGAACCUCUGGGGUGAGUCCUGCCUGCGUCGGGGAAACGCAGGCAGGUAGGGCGCCGUCCGGCCCGAACCCGUCAGCUAACUCGGUAGGCGGUUGCGAGGAUGGGA